Dioscorea cayenensis subsp. rotundata (Guinea yam) is the source of this 164-nucleotide small nucleolar RNA. RefSeq annotates it as small nucleolar RNA snoR143. NCBI's taxonomy places the organism in Eukaryota, Viridiplantae, Streptophyta, Magnoliopsida, Dioscoreales, Dioscoreaceae. The record is from RefSeq and is a predicted model, not a curated record. The transcript has a single exon.
UUGCAUUGUUGAUAAAUAAGGCCACUAUUGAUUCAAUCGGGUGGUCUUGAACAAUGGUGCAUAAAGAGAAAGCUGUUCAGUCAGCAGCGGCCAGACAACCGUGGUGAUGGAUCCACAGAUGGCUGCUUUUGAUGCAGUUUGUCUACUAAAUCCAUCUCAUAUUA